UCGUUAAUUACUCCCAGCUGUGUCCCCCACCUGUGUGUAAUCUCCCUGUGUUUCUCUGAGUGUAUUUAAGUCGUGUCUUCUGUCCUUGUAGUCGCUGGUCCGUCUGUGUAUCUACCAUGUUCCAUUCGUGUGUUCUCCCUGCUGUCACCAUCAUAUACCAUCGUCUAUCUUCCUUCAUGUUCAGGAAGUAAGGAGCAGACGGCUGAGCUCAUCAAACUCCGGGGUGAAAACGAACACCUGUUUACCGGUGCCAAGAACUCAGCCGCUGUGGGUUGGAGGUACAGCCUGGCAGGCAAAAUCACCCCGUUGCAGGCGGGGGAAAAAAAAGGGACAACCUAAAGAAAAAAUUAAAAAAUCACAAGUAUCCCGCAUCAGGUGAGGGGGUGAGUGGGAAGACCACUGCUGCUACAUGGCCCUGGUUUGUCCCCAUGGAUGAGGUGUUAGGACAGAGGCCGUCUACCAGGCCUCUGGCUGAGCAGCAAGUCUCGGGCAGUACUGCUCAAUCUGCUGGACCAGGACCUAAGACAGGAAUGAGAUGCCACAAGUCAGACCCUUGGUUUGCAUUUCCAGCUACUAAGUGGAGCAUCAUACAGCUUGGUGGCCAGUAGUUGUUCAGGGAUGCUUGCUUCCACUGUCCACCGCAUCAUCUUAUCACUUGGGUUUGCAGGGCUGAUGUAACUGAUGGCUGCCACGUCACUGAAAUGUAUGCAGAAAGAUACAAGGACAAAGAGGUGCACACAAUCCUGUUAAUACAGAUAUUGCAAGUAAUAUUCUAGCACUCUAACAAUGCACUACUAAAAGAAUACCUGCCUGUUAACAAUAAUCGGAUCUCCUCCAGGGCAGACACCUCAGAGCGCACCACUGCCUGCCUCCAAACCAGUCUCCCCCUCAACUUGCACAUCAUCCUCGGGCUCAUCCUCUAUGGAAGAAAUAUAGUAUCAUCAGAAUCCAACUAUUUUUAGACAUUGAAUUUAUAACACUGAAUUUUUAUCCUCCAAAUUUCCCUGCAAAAAUAUUCACCUGCAAAAAUUCACCUGCAAAAAAUUCAACUGCAAAAAUUCACCUGCAAA
This is a long non-coding RNA of Oreochromis niloticus (Nile tilapia), 1070 nucleotides long. RefSeq lists it as uncharacterized. The transcript is spliced from 3 exons. The record is from RefSeq and is a predicted model, not a curated record. Lineage: Eukaryota; Metazoa; Chordata; Actinopteri; Cichliformes; Cichlidae.